GGGCAGUAAGGCAUGGAUAAUCUACCCUGAUGACCGGGAUAGCUGUCCCAACGGGCAGGUAAUACCGGAUGAGCUGGUGGGGCCGCAUGGUUCUGCCAGGAAAGGCGCAAGCCGUGUCGGGAGGAAUCCAUGUGAUAUUAGCUAGUUGGUGAGGUAACGGCUCACCAGAGAAAAGAUGUCUAGCGGGUGUGAGAGCACGACCCGCGCCAUUUUUCCUGAGACACUGGACUGACUCCUACGG
This 241-nucleotide ribosomal RNA is filed under the name uncultured bacterium. RNAcentral's name for it is "partial 16S ribosomal RNA". It matches the Rfam family "Bacterial small subunit ribosomal RNA", at positions 105 to 344 of the family's 1533-position model. The record is from RNAcentral.